ACGACACCUGUUGCAACGACAACACUUGGCCCCACAACAACACCUGUUGCAACGACAACACCUGCCCCCACAACAACACCUGCUCCCACGACAACACCUGUUGCAACGACAACACUUGGCCCCACAACAACACCUGUUGCAACGACGACACCUGCCCCCACAACGACACCUGUACAUCAAGAUGUUGCAUUACUGGCCCUACAGAUGAAGAUAUCUUUCGUUGGAGAUGUUAGCGAUGGAAUCAUCAUCGAACAUGUUGAAGAGUUUUUUAGAAAGCAGCUCAAGAAUGGAACAGCUUACAAGAUCAACGUGACAAACAUUCAAAGGGUUAAAGUUCUCCAAUAGAAGCUUCAUGUGGAUGUUUAAAGACAUUAAUUUAAUUCCUAUCUGUAAAGAGUCUUUCGACAGUUUUAGCAUAAUACCUCAAAUAUUGUUGUACUCUCCUGCAACAGUUUGGGACCGGGUUGCUUUUUUUUACAAUUAAACUCGGAGAAAUAUAAUGUUUUUUAAAAGGACCGGAUACACCCGUCUGUGCUUAAAGUUCACUUUAUCGCUGCAGACGAGCCUCACGUGCCGAACCCGCUGGGCUGGAAGCACAUUUCAGUGACAAAGUAUGGGUCUUAAAACAUAUUCAACCUGCUCAAUCAACUCAAUCUGUCACUUCAGGGGGAAAUUACAACUUUUUUCAAGAUGGACGAUAAAGUCGGCACAAUUGUGGGGACGGCGUGUGAACAGGGGAAUAUUUGGCCUUAAAAGUACAUUUCACGCAACAACUCUGCCGGUAAUAUGGAUCAAAAUCAAGGCAGAAUAGCCCGAGAUCGCCAACAAAAGCUCUGAAAACCCUGCUUCCAUUUCCAACGUCAUAUCUUUUUGGUUUCUGCAAUGACAGCGACCAAAACUAAGUUAUGGAGCAGACCGGACAUAACUAACACACGUCGGGUCACCGGCCUGUUGCAGAUAAACAAGCUCAGGGCUCCCACUAAUUCGGUGUAAUGGUGAGUUGUAUUUUUAUGCACUUAAUGCCGGUCAUAUAAUUUUAUUACGUCAGAUUUAUUACGUCAGAUUCAUCGCCGGUCCUUGAAAAUAUUGUCUGACACGAAACCGGUCCGUGGCUCAAAAAAGGUUUGGGACCGCUGCUCUACUGUAUAUACAACCAAUAGCUCAAAAGUACCACCCUAAAAGUUGUGUUUAUUUUUCAAACACAGAGGCUAAGAUUUGAGAUUCAAUCCCAUCUUCUGCUUCUUUAUUGUCAAACUCCUUGGUCAACAUUAGGAGUUUUACUACAUAAUCCCUGAAAGGUAUUCCCAAGAGUUGAAUGUGCAUUGAGUGUGCAAAGUCAAAUUAGAAGCUCAAACCAAGCAAUCUGAUCUGUCAAACAGGUUUUAACGGUGUAAAUAAUUUCCAUUCUCUGUAACUGGAGCAGCAGCUACCAGGAAACACUCCACCCUGUCACAAUGAAUCAGGAAACGUCUCACAUACAUAUUUGUAUGACAACCAUUGAACCGUGAAAAGGAGAAAUGAAUGGUCUGUCAGAGGUUGCUGAUCAAAUGCACAUGUUCAUUGAAUAUAAAUAUGUUUACAUUGUGCCAUCAAUAAUGAAUUAUUGAAUGUAUCUUCUUCACCAUAUGAAAGCACUACUUGUUUGUUGUGUGCUAUAAAACAAUGCCUUGCAAUAUUUCAAUCCAGUAAAGGAAUUCUAUCAGACAUUCUCUGUGGAAGUUUUUUUUUUUUUUUAAAGAAGGUUUUGAUGAAAUGGGUUUGAGUUAUUAAUUAACGAUUAACACUGAAUUUAGGCCAGUAUGUAUCAGUCAUUUCUUAUUCCUUUACUGCAAGGGUUUGCAUCAUUUUAGUUGGGCUUUACUUUCAGACUACAUGGGCAUUAAAUACUUUCUGGUUUUGUUUUGUUGUAACACUAUAUUCAUGACAAAAUUGGCAUUCAUGUUAUGUCUUUUUUUUUUAUGAAUAAAGAGACAUAUUCAAAGAA
Long non-coding RNA from Pseudoliparis swirei, 1984 nucleotides. RefSeq lists it as uncharacterized. The record is from RefSeq and is a predicted model, not a curated record. The transcript has 3 exons. NCBI's taxonomy places the organism in Eukaryota, Metazoa, Chordata, Actinopteri, Perciformes, Liparidae.